AGCGGGCGGAGGCGGCCCAGCGGCGGCAGGUGAGGCGGAACCAACCCUCCUGGCCAUGGGAGGGGCCGUGGUGGACGAGGGCCCCACAGGCGUCAAGGCCCCCGACGGCGGCUGGGGCUGGGCCGUGCUCCUCGGCUGCUUUGUCAUCACUGGCUUCUCCUACGCCUUCCCCAAGGCCGUCAGUGUCUUCUUCAAGGAGCUCAUGCAGGAGUUUGGGAUCGGCUACAGCGACACAGCCUGGAUCUCCUCCAUCCUGCUGGCCAUGCUCUACGGGACAGGUCCGCUCUGCAGCGUGUGCGUGAACCGCUUUGGCUGCCGGCCCGUCAUGCUUGUGGGGGGCCUCUUUGCGUCGCUGGGCAUGGUGGCUGCGUCCUUUUGCCAGAGCAUCAUCCAAGUCUACCUCACCACUGGGGUCAUCACUGGUGAGUGGGGCUGGCUGGUGGGCCGCAGAUGCCAGGUGGGGCAGGGGCCGUGCAUUUCUGCUCCUGGGCCCGGGCCUCUGGAGGACAGCAGGGUGGGUGGCUGCGGGGUGUCCCGGCCCCACCUCGUUGUCCCCCUCUCGAGUGGGUGGGUGGCAGGGGCUCUGCACACUGGGAGCCGGAGCCUGUGGGAACCUGGGGGCAGAGAUGAGGGUCUCAGGCUUUGGGGGCAGCCUUGGGGGGCUCUCACCACAUUCCCUUUCCUUCAGGGUUGGGUUUGGCGCUCAACUUCCAGCCCUCGCUCAUCAUGCUGAACCGCUACUUCAGCAAGCGGCGCCCCAUGGCCAACGGGCUGGCGGCAGCAGGUAGCCCCGUCUUCCUGUGUGCCCUGAGCCCGCUGGGGCAGCUGCUGCAGGACCACUACGGCUGGCGGGG
Molecule: small RNA, 854 nt
Filed under: Pongo abelii (Sumatran orangutan)
Lineage: Eukaryota; Metazoa; Chordata; Mammalia; Primates; Hominidae
Description: retained intron
Source: RNAcentral